Molecule: non-coding RNA, 81 nt
Organism: Paramuricea clavata
Lineage: Eukaryota; Metazoa; Cnidaria; Anthozoa; Malacalcyonacea; Plexauridae
Source: the annotation of a GenBank genome assembly
GACCGCGUAGCUCAGUUGGCAGAGCAUGCAUUGGGCUAGUAUUCCAAAGGUCGUAUAUAGCUUCGAUUCCCACCGUGGUCA